UGGCCUGCCUGUCUCUCUAGCCAGAAAC
This 28-nucleotide non-coding RNA is filed under the name Rattus norvegicus (Norway rat). The record is from RNAcentral. Lineage: Eukaryota; Metazoa; Chordata; Mammalia; Rodentia; Muridae.